RNAcentral lists this ribosomal RNA (284 nucleotides) under uncultured bacterium. RNAcentral describes it as "partial 16S ribosomal RNA". It matches the Rfam family "Bacterial small subunit ribosomal RNA", at positions 773 to 1060 of the family's 1533-position model. The record is from RNAcentral.
GUGGAUUAGAUACCCUGGUAGUCCACACAGUAAAUGAUGAUAACUCGCUGUCGGCGAUACACAGUCGGUAGUCAAGCGAAAGCGAUAAGUUAUCCACCUGGGGAGUACGACCGCAAGGUUGAAACUCAAAGGAAUUGACGGGGGCCCGCACAAGCGGAGGAACAUGUGGUUUAAUUCGAUGAUACGCGAGGAACCUUACCCGGGCUCGAACGGUACAUGAACGAUCAAGAGAUUGAGAGGUCCUUCGGGACAUGUAUCGAGGUGCUGCAUGGUUGUCGACAGCU